CCAGUAGCCACUUCACCAUCUUCACCUCAGCCAGCAGAAACCCACCCUACGACACUGCAGGGAGCAAUAAGGAGAGAACCCACCAGCUCACCAUUGUACUCUUACACAACAGAUGGGAAUGACACCGUGACAGAGUCUUCAGAUGGCCUUUGGAAUAACAAUCAAACUCAACUGUUCCUAGAACAUAGUCUACUGACGGCCAAUACCACUAAAGGAAUCUAUGCUGGAGUCUGUAUUUCUGUCUUGGUGCUUCUUGCUCUUUUGGGUGUCAUCAUUGCCAAAAGAGGUUCAACAACUAAGUGUUUCAUUUAGCAGCCUUCAAAUUAAAGCUUUGCAAAAUGCAGUUGAAAAGGAAGUCCAAGCAGAAGACAAUAUCUACAUUGAGAAUAGUCUUUAUGCCAC
RNAcentral lists this long non-coding RNA (402 nucleotides) under Homo sapiens (human). RNAcentral's name for it is "non-protein coding lnc-HAVCR2-1:1". The record is from RNAcentral. Lineage: Eukaryota; Metazoa; Chordata; Mammalia; Primates; Hominidae.